GCCAGAGCUGUGCACGAAGAGACAAUCAAGUACCAAAAGAAACACCAUGAAAGAAACAAUCCUCAAAUGAGAGAGUACAGAUACAGCUGGAGUUGUCUCGAUAUAUUCAACCCUCUUCUGGGCCAACCAAUGCAAGGCUUUAACCAAGAGCAGAGCUGUAACCAUCCCAAGGAAUGUGACAGAAAACUCCUGCCGGAAUAUAGUGAUGGCAAAUAAAAUUUCCAUCACCUCCCUCCACGAUUGUUCAUUCAGCCUUUCAACUUCUGCUUCUCUGAGAGUUCCGAGAAACAGGCGCUUGACUAGCUGCCACAUUAUACACAUGAUGACCAAGCCCAUAUUCAAAAGAAGAACAAAGCAUAUCUUCGAUGUGGAUAGAUAAACCAUAGCUGGAUAAAACU
This 398-nucleotide unclassified non-coding RNA is filed under the name Hevea brasiliensis (rubber tree). Lineage: Eukaryota; Viridiplantae; Streptophyta; Magnoliopsida; Malpighiales; Euphorbiaceae. The record is from RNAcentral.